AUUUCCCUCCAGUGCCCUUCCAAUUCCCCUUCCCCUUCCCCUCCGCCGUAUCCCACCACUCCCAUUCCCAUUCCCACUCCCCUUUCCGCUUCCCCUGUGCCAUCUCCCUCCAGUCCCCUUCCAAUUCCCAUUCCCCUUGCCCUGAGGCAUCUCCCUCCAGUCCCAGUCCCAUUCCCAUUAGCCCCUUUCCCUGUGCCAUCUCCCUCCAGUCCCCUUCCCAUUCCCUCUCCCCUUCCCCUGAGGCAUCUUCCUGCUCUCCCAUUCCAAUUCCCAUUCCCCUUCCUCCUCCCCUGCAGCAUUACCCUCCUAUCCCUUUCACAUUCCCUUUUCCCUUCCCCUGCAGCAUCUCCCUCCAAUCCCAUUCCAAAUCACAUUCCCUUUUCCCCUUCCCCUGUGCCAUCUCCCUCCAAUCCCCUUCCCAUUCCCCUUUCCCCUUCCCCUGCACCAUAUCCCACCACUCACAUUCCCAUUCCCCUUUCCCCUUCCCCUCUGUCAUCUCCCUUCAGUCCGCUUCCCGUUCCCAUUCCCCUUCCCCUCUGCCAUCUCCCUCCAGUCCCCUUCCCGUUCCCAUUCCCCUUCCCCUGAGGCAUCUCCCUCCAGUCCCCUUCCCGUUCUCGUUCCCCUUCCCCUGAGGCACCUACCUCCAGUCCCAUUCCCAUUCCCCUUCUUCCUCUGCACCCUCUGCCACCUGUUGCAUUCCCUUUCCCCUUCCCGAUGGCAUCUCCGUCCACGCACAUUCCCGUUCCCCCUUCCCCUUCCCCUGCAGCAUCUCCCUCCUGUCCCUUUCCCAUUCCCUUUUCCUAUUCCCCUGCAGCAUCGCCCUCCAGUCCCAUUGCAAAUCCCAUUCCCCUUAGACACUUUCCCUGUGGCAUCUCCCUCCAGUCCCCUACAAAUUCCCAUUCCCCUUCCCCUGAGAAAUCUCCCUCCAGUCCCAUUCCCAUUCCCAUUCCCCUGCGCCAUAUCCCACCACUCCCAUUCCAAUUCCCCUUUUCCGUUCCCCUGUGCCAUCUCCCUCCAGUCCCCUUCCCAUUCCCCGGCGCCAUAUCCCACCACUCCCAUUCCAAUUUCCCUUUUCCCUUCCACUGCUGCAUCGCCCUCCAGUCCCAUUCCAAAUCCCAUUCCCCUUUCCCCUUUCUCUGUGGCAUCUCCCUCCAGUCCCAUUCCAAAUCCCAUUCCCCUUUCCCCUUCCCCUGAGGCAUCUCCCUCCAAUCCCAUUCCAAAUCCCAUUCCCCUUUCUCCUUCCCCUGAGGCAUCUCCCCCCAGUCCCAUUCCAUAUCCCAUUCCCCUUCCCCUGCAGCAUUUCCCUCCUGUCCCUUUCCUAUUCCCUUUUCCCCUCCCAUCAAGCAUCUCCCACCAGUCCCAUUCCAAAUCCCAUUCCCCUUUCCCCUACCCCUGUGCCAUCUCCCUCCACUCCCAUUCGCAUUCCCCUUUCCCCUUGCCCUCUGCCAUCUCCCUCCUGUCCCAUUCCCAUCCCCCAUCCCCUUCCCCUGCGCCAUAUCCCACCACUCCCAUUCCAAUUCCCUUUCUCCCUUCCCCCGCAGCAUCGCCCUCCAGUCCCAUUCCAAAUCCCAUUCCCCUUUCCACUUCCCCUGUGCCAUCUCCCUGCAGUCCCCUUAAAAUUCCCCUUCACCUUCACCUGAGCCAUCUCCCUCCAGUCCCUUUCCCAUUCCCCUUUCCCCUUCCCCUGCGCCAUAUGCCACCACUCCCAUUCCCAUUCCCCUUUCCCCUUCCCCACUGCCAUCUCCCUCCAGUCCCUUUCCAAUUCCCCAACCCAUUCCCCUGAGGCAUCUCCCUCCAGUCCCCUUCCAAUUCUCCAACCCCUUCCCCUGAGGCAUCUCCCUCCAGUCCCAUUCCAAAUCCCAUUCCCCUGCAGCAUUUCCCUCAGGUCCGCUUCCUAUUCCCUUUCCCCUUCCCCUGAGGAAUCUCCCUCCAAUCCCAUUCCAAAUCCCAUUCCCCUUUCCCCUUUCCCGGUGCCAUCUCCCUCCAAUCCCAUUCCAAAUCCCAUUCAACUUUCCCUUUUCCCUGUGGCAUCUCCCUCCAGUCCCCUUCCAAUUCCCCUUCCCAUUCCCCUCCGACAUAUCCCACCACUCCCAUUCCCAUUCCCCUUUCCCCUUCCCCUGCAGCAUCUCCCUCCAGUUCCAUUCCCAUUCCCCGUCUCCCUCUGCACCCUCUGCCACCUGUUGCAUUCCCCGUCCCCUUCCCGAUGGGAUCUCCCUCCACUCCCAUUCCCGUUCCCCCUUCCCCUUUCCCUGUGCUAUCUCCCUCCAGUCCCCUUCCAAUUCCCAUUCCCCUUCCCCUGCGCCAUAUCCCACCACUCCAAUUCCCCUUUUCCGUUCCCCUGUGCCAUCUCCCUCCAGUCCCCUUGCCAUUCCCUUUCCCCUUCCCCUGAGACAUCUCCCUCCAGUCCCAUUCCCAUUCACCUUUCCCCUUUUCCUGUGGCAUUUCCCUCCAGUCCCCUUCCAAUUUCCCUUCCCAUUCCUCUGCGCAAUAUCCCACCAAUCCCAUUCCAAUUCCCCUUUCCCCUUUCCCUGCGGCAACUCCCUCCAGUCCUCUUCCUAUUCCCUUUCCCCUUCCCCUGAGGCAUCUCCCUCUAAUCCCAUUCCAAAUCCCAUUCCCCUUUCCCCUUCCCUUGAGGCACCUCCCCCCAGUCCCAUUCCAUAUCCCAUUCCCCUUCCCCUUCCCCUGCAGCAUUUCCCUCAUGUCCCUUUCCCAUUCCCUUUUCCCCUCCGUUCAAGCAUCUCCCUCCAGUCCCAUUCCAAAUCCCAUUCCCCUUUCCCCUUCCC
Long non-coding RNA from Numida meleagris (helmeted guineafowl), 2783 nucleotides. The record is from Ensembl. Lineage: Eukaryota; Metazoa; Chordata; Aves; Galliformes; Numididae.